Molecule: long non-coding RNA, 1950 nt
Organism: Harpia harpyja (harpy eagle)
Lineage: Eukaryota; Metazoa; Chordata; Aves; Accipitriformes; Accipitridae
Exons: 8
Source: RefSeq, a predicted model, not a curated record
UCACUGGUUGGACAGAAAAUCGGUGAAGUAGCUUUGAGUUUUGUAUUGGCGGGCGAUGCCACCCUGGGCCUGCAGCUGACGGUGCAAAUGUAAACCCGUGUGCAGUACAGCACUGAGUUUUCUAAACCGAUUUUGCUGGUGCGGGAAGGUGAAUGUCAAAGAUCCUGUUUUCGUGAUUGCAGAACUAACAGAGAAAGCCUAGGUAUCUCACUGGAAUUACCACGUCAGAUCAGGUCCCUGUAGCUUCCUGUUUCCAGAAUUAGUCUUUGUCAAAGUUACUGUCUUCAGAUGAGGACAGAAGAGACAUUAAGACACCACAGCCUAAGGGUUUCUUCCUAAGGAAACAAAUUAAAUUCCUCUACAACCAGCCCGUUCAAGAUAAUUUCAGAAAGGAGUUUCUGCGGGAGAUGCGUAGAUCCUGAACAACGUCUGCAAAGGCCAACCACCUGGUCUUAGUCACCCUCAGCCUUUCCUGCAAGAGGAAGGAAGGAGAAAACUGACUGAAGCGGUUCUUAAACAGGUUUGCAAUGCUCAGGCUCUAUGGGUUAUCUAUUCAAGACAUGUCAACACGUGGCUGCUUGGGAAAGUGCUACUGAUAGCUGAAGGCAGUGUUUUACGUGGAGAAACUGAGGCAUAGAAAUGCUGCAGAUGUUAGAUGAAAUCAGGGAGAGAUCCAGGACCUGAAGUAGAAGGGCAGUCCAGGCCUUUCAGCACAUGCCAGGAAAGCAAAGGAAGUGUGGUCCAACAAAAGGAAAAGAAAAAAUGCUUUCUACCAGAGAUGGAACAUUUGUCAUAGUGGCUUUUUUAUAUGCUGGAAACCUGAGAAGAAGCAGCACUGGUGGUCGAUCCCUCCUCUGACUUUCCUUAUGAGGCAGUCUGAAGAUGACCAGUCAAGAAGCUGAACCAACAUUUCUAACCUGCAUUGCAAAACUCAUCAGUGUGCAGGAGGCUAUCCUUUCAUGAUAACACUCUCACUGCCAUCUUUUGAAGUUUGGUGGGUUUUUUACUUCAUAUGGAAUGAUUAAAGUUCCUUGUCUUCAGAAAAGAGAGCCCACAUGCCUCCUACAGAUGCAGUGUGCAGGCUUCUGCAUCGCUCUAGCUCUGAUUCUCCAUUUUAUCCAAUGAAAUUUAAAAUAAGCUUUAGCAAAAGAGUUUGAGAGAACUUCACAUGAGCAUAUCUCACUGGCUGGGAUGCACUCCUGGGAUAUGAGUGUUGGGAGGAGGACAUUUGAACUUGAGCUCUCUGUAGAUCAACCCCCAGAAUACCACUGGGUGAAGUUAUUUGCAAAUAAGGAUUUGUUUAGAUUUUUCCUAGAAAAGAGAGACUCCUAAAAUCCUUUGAAGAAACACUCAGAAGAGCCUGUGCCCUUAGAGCCAACUCUCCCCAGUGGUCAGGCAUGAAGACACACGCAGGCAAGGUCCCUCUCCUCUGCAAGAAGCAGCAUUUGUUCCUUCCACCAUCCCUCUCUUGCCUGUUCCUUUGUCACCUCUUUUUGGCCUAAUAUAGUCGAAAACCUGUAUCUUACAAAUGCGUGUCUUACAAGGCAUUCCAUAUAAAGGUCUAUUCGAGUCUAAUAGCCUUGCUUUAUCCCCUCUAGCAUAUAUAUUUCCUAAUUUUUUGGAUAAGGAACAGUCUUCAAACUCUACAUAGCUCCUAAUCUACUCAUAGUUUGGUCUAUAGCUUGGGCUCCUAGGUGCUGCUAAAGAUACAUAUCUAGAAAAUUUAUUCUGCUCAUGUCUCUGGUAUCAUUACAUCAUUAUAUUCAGUUCUUUUCCUGGGGAGAGCUGCAAUAGACCGGUGCUAUGUUAAAUCAGCCUCUGAUAGAAGAAGCUGUUCUCAUUUUCCCUUGAGCUGCACAGCAUUUUUCCUUUACAAUAUUGAUUUAAUAAUUUAUAAAUGUUUGAUGUUUACAAGUACCAAUGGAAAUAAAAACUGCAUUGGCAAAUGUA